CAGAUGGCGGGGAAGGCGUUUCCUCGUGCGGUGACGGUGUGUUCGUUGUCAGGAGAAUCGUUCAUCGUCAGUAUGACCCAGACACAGGAAGGUGUUUCUUACUUCGUGAAACCCAAGACUUCCGACCAAAAUGCUUACAUAAUGAUUCUGAUGGUUGUGGUGGUGACACUGACUCUUCUGCUUACGACGGCGUGCUGAUAAAAUAAGGUCCCAGAGUGAACGGCGACAGAGCAGGCGGAAGGAACUCACGUCGGCGAGGAAGCGCCUUCUUCGUUCAGCUCCGAAGAUCCUCAGAAGCAGCCCGUCCGUUGCUCCGAGGAAUCUGCCUCGGAAGAAACUUAUUGCCGACAUCCACGCGUUGUUAUUGGCUGGGAAAAGGGGUCGGUUUGCGGCGAAUCAAGUGUCUUUGACCGAUCUGGAGGCGGACCAGUUUCUUGUGUCUUUGAGGAUCUUGUUUUGUUUAUUUGUCUGAUUCUUGUAUUGUUUUUUGUUUGUUUUUGUCAAUUCAGCUGCAUUGCAAUGUAUUUUCUUCUUAUUAAGAAGGGAAAUUCUAAAGAUUUGUUGAAAAGAAAAUGAGUUUAUUGUUUGUGGCGUUUCAAAUAUCUUUGAUUUUAUCAUCAUGUAUCAGGAAUGUAAAAUAGGAAAGUUUAGCGUCUAUUUUGGUAAAUACAGUAUGCUAUUCUGUACCAUCCAGGUCGUGUGUUUUCCAAAGCUUGUGUAGAAUGAUAACGUUUGAUUAUUUGAUCUGUUACUUUUACCCUAAUGCAGAAUAAGAUUUUUAAAUGCUAAUCACAAUCAAUACUACGAAUGAUUGACUAUGAUAAAAGCAUUUUAGGGGGAAAGUAAUGCGCAUAUAAGGUUUUAUGAUUAACUAUUCUUUUCCAUGAGUGAAUAUCUACCACAUACUCUGUUGGUAAAAUCAUGAUUAACCCUUAUUUUAUGAUAACAAUACUACUACUACUAAUAAUAAUAAUAAGCAUGGUGAUAAUGAUAAAAAUAAUGAUAACAGUAACAAAGAUAAUGAUAAUAUGGAUAAUGAUAAUAAGUCGACAAAACGUCUACAGAAAAGAUCAUGGAAACCUGUGGCACCGUAACAUAAUGCAAAGCGAAGAUACGAAGUUCCUCGUUCAGCCUUCCUGUGCCAGUAGCUCUUUCCCACCGAUAAUCAAACCUGCCGUGAAGUAAUUAGUCAACAUGUCUGACUGAGAGGAAAUGAUCAUGGAAAUGCAACAUUAGCUGCAUCAGGGGAAGCCCUCGUUAUUGUCUUGUUUUUUUUUUUUGUUUUUUGUUUUUUGUUUUUUGUUUUUUGCUUUUUUUUCAUUUUCUUUUUGUCAUUUCAGUUCUAUUCCUUUCACAAAUAACACAAGCUCGUAAAUCACCCACGCGGCCUUGUAACCUAUUCAGAAGCUACAUAAGGUCCAUUAUCAUAGGAAUUUUUUUAGAUGGACUUAUCAUAUAUAGAUUUCAAAAUAUUAAUUCGGUAGAAAAAAAAACACAGAAUAUUUGUAAUAAUGCUCAUAGACUUUUAUUCUUUUUGCACACACUUAUGUUUGUAUCUGGAAAUAAAGGCUUGAUAAGAGUAAACAAUAAAACACCAGGCUGAAAAUAAACCGGCAAAAAGAAGAAAUAAAGUUUUUGUUCACGUAAUUUAACGUUAAUAAGUCAAUCAAGCAACUCAUUUCUUGCAUUGUUU
This is a long non-coding RNA of Penaeus indicus, 1693 nucleotides long. RefSeq lists it as uncharacterized. Lineage: Eukaryota; Metazoa; Arthropoda; Malacostraca; Decapoda; Penaeidae. The record is from RefSeq and is a predicted model, not a curated record. The transcript has 3 exons.